RNAcentral lists this unclassified non-coding RNA (585 nucleotides) under Hevea brasiliensis (rubber tree). The record is from RNAcentral. Lineage: Eukaryota; Viridiplantae; Streptophyta; Magnoliopsida; Malpighiales; Euphorbiaceae.
UUAUGACAUCAUCAAAGAUCCAAUAGAUUUAAAAACAAUGUCAAAGCGGGUUGAGUCGGAGUUAUAUUAUGUGACAUUUGAUAUGUUUUUGGCGGAUGUGAGAAGGAUGUUUGCGAACGCUCGCACCUAUAACUCUCCUGAGACCAUUUACUACAAAUGUUCAACCAGGCUUGAAUCACAUUUCUCAAACAAAGUUCAAGCUGGUCUACAGUCUAGCAUCAAGAUUCAGUAGGAAGUUCAUUAUUCGAUAUUUAUGAAGUUGAUUCUGGUUCAAGUGAAUCCCAUCAUAAUUGAUGCCUUAUGAUAUCAUCCGACCCUGGUGUUUCAUGAGAGUACUUGUAUAAUUUGUAUACUAAGUAGAUGUACAAUAGUUAAUUGAAGUUGUUACUUGAGUGAGUUUUACACCAGUUGCUGGUGGUACACAAAGUAAUCUUUAUAUGUGGGUAACCCCAAGGCAGUACAUGUUUAUUUUGUAAAAAGUUGUCACUGACGCAUUAUGUUAGGGUUAAAUUAUGCAACCAAUUAGGGUUGUAUGACUUGUUUGGUUAGCAACUGUUGUAUCCGACUUAACUUAUGAAAUCGAAG